UCUAGAACUUCAGAUAUGGACACAACACUAAACAAUAUCUGAGCUGUAUGACAGAUUUGGAAGUUUCUUUUGAUGCAGAUUUGGACUCCAAAAUGGAAGAAUUGAGUCUUGAACUUUUCAUGAAUGUUUUAGGCCUAUGUCUUAGCUUUCCAUC
Molecule: non-coding RNA, 154 nt
Organism: Populus trichocarpa (black cottonwood)
Lineage: Eukaryota; Viridiplantae; Streptophyta; Magnoliopsida; Malpighiales; Salicaceae
Source: Rfam